This 72-nucleotide transfer RNA is filed under the name Ictidomys tridecemlineatus (thirteen-lined ground squirrel). Its description in RNAcentral is "Spermophilus tridecemlineatus (thirteen-lined ground squirrel) tRNA". It matches the Rfam family "tRNA". Rfam says of the family: Transfer RNA (tRNA) molecules are approximately 80 nucleotides in length. Lineage: Eukaryota; Metazoa; Chordata; Mammalia; Rodentia; Sciuridae. The record is from Rfam by way of RNAcentral.
GGGGAUGUAGCUCAGUGGUAGGGCAUGUGCUUAGAAUGAGUGAGGCUCUGGGUUAGAUCCCUAGCACCCUUG